Molecule: long non-coding RNA, 9895 nt
Filed under: Triticum aestivum (bread wheat)
Lineage: Eukaryota; Viridiplantae; Streptophyta; Magnoliopsida; Poales; Poaceae
Description: long non-coding RNA (TAES_LNC004285)
Source: RNAcentral
GGCCUCAUUUAAACUUGCUUUGAUGUGUUGUUCUCGUAUGCAUCAUCUCUUGCCAUGAGUAGCUUCAUAUAGCCUUUGUCAUGCAUCAUACUUGGUUGAGCAUCAUGCCUUAUUCAUGUGUGGUGUGUUUACCAUGUUGUGUGCUUCUUCUCGAUAGUUCCCGUGUCGUUGCGAUCGUGAGGAUUCGUUCGUCUUCGUGGCUUCAUCUUCUUCAUGGACUCGUUCUUCUUCCUAGCGGGAUUUCAGGCAAGAUGACCGUCACGUUGGAUCUCAUUACUAUCAUUGCUAUGCUAGUUGCUUCGUUCUAUCGCUAUGUUGCACCACCUAUCACUUGCUCUUCAAGCCUCCCAAAUUGCCAUGAACCUCUAACCUUUGUCAUCCUUCCUAGCAAACCGUUGUUUGGCUAUAUUACCGCUUUGCUCAGCCCCUCUUAUAGCGUUGCUAGUUGCAGGUGAAGAUGAAGAUUGCUCCAUGUUGGAUUAUGUUUAUGUUGGGAUAUCACAAUAUCUCUUAUUUAAUUAAUGCAUCUAUAUACUUGGUAAAGGGUGGAAGGCUCGGCCUUAUGCCUGGUGUUUUGUUCCACUCUUGCCGCCCUAGUUUCCAUCAUACCGGUGUUAUGUUCCUUGAUUUUGCGUCCCUUACACGGUUGGGUGAUUUAUGGGAUCCCCUUGACAGUUUGCUUUGAAUAAAACUCUUCCAGCAAGGCCCAACCUUGGUUUAGAUUUGCCUCACCUAGCCUUUUUCCCUUGGGAGUCGCGCAUCCCGAGGGUCAUCUUUAUUUUACCCCCCCGGCCAGCGCUUGUCUAAGUGCUGGUCCAAACCGAGCGAUGUCCGGCGCCCCCUGGGCAACUAGGGUCUAUGCCAACCCGACGUCUUGCUCAUCCGGUGUGUACUGAGAACGAGAUACGUGCGACUCCUAUCGGGAUUGUUGACACAUCGGGCGGCUUUGCUGGUUUUGUUUUACCAUCGUCGAAAUGUCUUGUAACCGGGAUUCCGAGACUGAUCGGGUCUUUCCGGGAGAAGGAAUAUCCUUCGUUGACCGUGAGAGCUUAUAAUGGGCUAAGUUAGGACACCCCUGCAGGGUAUAAACUUUCGAGAGCCGUGCCCGCGGUUAUGUGGCAGAUGGGAAUUUGUUAAUAUCCAGUUGUAGGGAACUUGACACUUGACUGAAUUAAAACACAUCAACCGCGUGUGUAACCGUGAUGGUCUCUUUUCGGCGGACUCCGGGAAGUGAACACGGUUUCUGGGUUAUGUUUGACGUAAGUAGGAGUUCAGGAUCACUUCUUGAUCAUUGCUAGUUUCACGACCGUUCCGUUGCUUCUCUUCUCGCUCUUAUUUGCGUAAGUUAGCCACCAUACUUGCUUAGCUGUUGCUGCAACCUCACCACCUUAUCCAUUCCUUUCCCAUUAAGCUUUGCUAGUCUUGAUACCCAUGGUAAUGGGAUUGCUGAGUCCUCGUGGCUCACAGAUUACUACAACACCAGUUGCAGGUACAUGUUAUGCGAUGAUCAUGACGCGAGAGCGAUGUUACUUGUUUUGGAGUCCUUCUUCUACUUCUUCUUCGAUCAGGGAAUAGGUUCCAGGUCGGCAGCCUGGGCUAGCAGGGUGGAUGUCGUUUGAGCUUCUGUUUGUGUUCCAUCCGUAGUCGGAUGUUGAUCUUGUGUAUGAUGUAUUGAUGUAUUCUUGUGGCAUUUGUAUGCCUUGUAUGUAUCCCCAUAUAUUAUGUAAUGUUGAUGUAAUAAUAUCCACCUUGCAAAAGCGUGUCAAUAUGCGAUUCUAUCCUUGGUGGGACCUUCGAGUCUCUUUAGGAUAGUAUCGCAUAUUGGGCAUGACACAUAGGUAGUAAUAUGGCCGACAGUUGUACAAAGGCAACGUAUGGCAUCGUUGGAAACCACAAGUAAGGUUCAUCUUAUCAUAGAGGCAAAUUAGAUGUUCUUACGAUGAUAGACAAUGCGUGCAGAAGACACGUGUUGCUGUAGAUGGUCCAUCUAGAGGACAUGGACGAUGAGAGCCAAGCGGUGCUCUGCGGUAACCUUGAAAGGGAAGGUGCAGAUACGUCCUUCAUGGAUGUUUGCACGGCGGUGGAACUCCGACCAGUUUGUGGUUAUUGUGGCUCUCUUGUCUGUUCCCAGCAUGAUACGACAAUUGGUGCGCAGAUUGAUGUUUGCGAGUCUGACCUUGAGUGUGUUACCAUCUGGUUUGAUGUACUCUUCCAGCUUUUCUUUGGUGUAGUGGACCUGAAAAUACUGGUACACGAGAGGAAUUAAUUGAGUAGAUUGCAGAGUAUGUAUAGUUUAAAUAUAGACAGUGAGAACAAUUAUCAGUAAAUAUUGGCACGAAUCAAAAGAAGAGUGCAAAUACAGGAAAAUGCAAAUACAGAGAAGCAUGCUACAUUCCUUCCUAUGUGGAGUAUAAGAUGUAAAUUGGUUGUUUCUGUGAUCAUGCGCACGCUAGUGAAGGAGAACAAAUACAGGAAGAAAGAAAACAUGUAUAUCAGACUAUAUGAAUAUUAGUUUCUAAGCAGGGCACACAGCUUUUGCAAUAUUUCGCGAUAAAGUCAAUUUGGUGAAUCAAAAGCACACUGCAGGCUGUGCUUCUGAUGAUUAGUCAGGUAAGUAGUUUGGUUGUGAGGCAUAAGCAAAGAUAAUUCUAUUUUUCAAUGAAGUGGAUGGAAGGAGUGUACCAUCCGUUGGCCUGGCUUUGCGAAUGUUUUGUUGAUGGUGCAGACAUAGUAUUUGAUAUCUGGUUUUUUGCGUCAGAACAUUGCAUACAACUUGUUCACAUGGUGUUGAUAGAACUUUUCUUCAUUACCCUAGUGACAGUAUUUUUCAAGCUCUCCACAGUAUUGGAUAGCAGGGGGUGGUCCUGAAUUUUAAGAUAGAAAUGAAGCAACACAUGUAAGAAGGCUGAAUACUAUUUAUUGUUAGGAGAGUAAGUUCUGACCAAGGGAAAAGUAGAAUUAAGCUUUAAACCUAUUGUAAGAAGAAUAUAGUAACUAAGUUAGUUAAGUUGAGCAUUAUUGAUCGGGUUGAUAUAUGCUAUCUCGGUUCUAAGGUGGAAUAUUGGCGUUGUAGAAGUACAUCAGAUCAUAAAAACUAUCCGGUCGUCUUAUUUUAAAGGGAAAAUAUCAGAACAGGAUAAUAAGCAUUGUAGCUUGGCAUUGGCUCACCGCGAAUGAUAUACUCCGACUGCUCAUAUUCUUCAUCCUUUAUUAAGUAUCGAGAGAAUAGUUAGUGCGAGAAAUCAGAAAUUUGUUUGCUGGCAAAAGGAAUUGUUGGCUUACAGUUAAUUUAUGCACUUUAAAAGAGUAUUAACAUGGAUUUAACUUGUGUAGCCUGGUUCUUUAAUAAACAAAUCAGUAUGCAGUCAUUUGAGCAUAUGUGAAGCAACCGUUUGAGGCUAUUUCAUUUCGUUUUGCUGGUUAAUAUCUGUACAAGUACUGUAGAGUUGGGCAUGAAUAGUGUGUGAGCUAUUGCCUUAGAAAUAUCGUGUGAGGUAUAGCAGGCAUAUCAAUCAAUUAAGUAAAUACUUGUGGAGGUUAUACAUAAUCAUGGCAGAAAAGACUGGAAAUUUGUGUUCAUCUGAAGUAUUUGGCAAAGGGUGGAGAGGCAGGUCAAAGACGAAGUGGUGGAUUCAUGGAUAGAAUAAGAUUAAUCGAUUUUAAAACCUAGUGUCAGCCGCACCUGCUGGGAUUCGGAAUGGGUGGCGGUUCUUGUGGCAGAAGACGGUGCUUGUCGACGGAGACCGGCCCGCGCCUGAAGUUGGGCUGGAUUAGCCAUUGCCGCAGAAGAAACCGAUGGCUGGCGAUGGUGACUCUUCGGCACGUGACAGCGGCUUCGAUCUGCGUAGCCGUGGUGCUUGACAAGGUGUCUCCAAUAGUGGCGGCAGAUCCUGCACUUCGCCAUCUUGGGCAAUGUUCCCACAAAAAUUGCAAUGAUCACUUGUCUCUCAUCCCUUCCAAACACUACCUCUUCCUCAAAUUCAAGUGCUCGAUUAUCCCAAAGGACCCGCUUUAGCUCCUGGCCCGUGUAGAUUCUAUAGCAUGCAAAGAUCGAUCAGUUAACAAAGGAAUGGCCAACUUACGGGUUUUAUUUACGACAAGAAUAUGGCAGAUUACUUACUGCAAGUCAGCAAGGAUAAUCGUUUAUGUAUUCGAUGGUUCUAGCUGGUGCGUUGACUGGACAGGAACGACAUAAAAAAUGGCAAUGGUCCUUCAAAUGGAAUCUUCAAAACAAAGAACCGAUGAAACCAUAUGACAUAGAAAAAUCUAAAAUGAGGUGCUUCAUAUGGUUAGGCAUGGAACAUCAUGACUGACCAAUGAAACGGGCGGGCGUGCUAGUUGGUCUUGAGAUAAAUCCAGCAAGAACAGACCCAUGCUCACCUUUCUUGGAAGGGUGCGACUGCUCUAGGGACAACAAGCCACAAGAUCAACCAAUCAGAAAGAAACAAUCUGCCCUAUAUUUAGUUUCAGACUUCCAGUCACCGAAACUGGAUGGGCCAAAAUAUGAUCUUCAGAAAAUGUAGGAAAUAAUAAACAAGCAAAAGGAUUAUCCCUGGAAAUCAAUAAUGUUGCAAAGCAGUUAAGAUCAUAUGAAAAAUUACAUAUCUUACCCUGCUGCUUGCACAACUCAACGCCUGCUCCUUCUCCCUGUCACUGGCAUGGUUGCAUUAUACACUAUAACCAACAUCCAUGAAUAAAAUUUAGUAAAAGUAUUUGAUAACAUAAGAAAAGGAGUGAAAUGAGAUAUACAGUUGGUUCAAUAGUCCAAUGCUUUGCUAGAUCAUAGAAGCUACUCUAAAUACAUGACUCGACAGUAUGGGAAAUUAAUAAAGGUACGAUAUUAAUGAUUUAUUUUCAUAUCAAAAGAAGAUAGGUAGUGGAGAUUGCAUUAUUAAAUAAAUAACAAAAGAAUGUACUUUUAUGUAGAAUUAAAGUGUGGAGAGCAAACAAAUAAGCCAGAGGGAAAACUAUGUAUUAGUCCUCAUGAAUAAAAAGUUCAGUCUUUCUUAGUCAAGAAUCUACUAAAAUGUAAUUAAUAUACAACAAAUCAAUUUUAAAAAAUCCUGGGAAAACAUGCCGACCAAAAUAAAGAGGUAGAAAGCCUAUUUUAAAUCCAUGACUGGUUACAAAGUUGCAUCAACCUACUACACUAAAUAUAUAAUGGCAGUUCUAGAUGCUGCUUAACACUCAAAUUAGAAGAAAACACUCAAAUUUCCACGAACUGAAUCAGAAUCAUCUAAGGAGCACGCACAUAAGUAAACUAUAAUGCAAUUAUAAAAAUCAGUAUUGAUCUUGGCUUGUGCUUCCUUUGACAUCUCAAUACGAUUGAAAAUAUUCUCCCAACCAAUAGUUAACUACAACAUGGUGUGAUGAGCAUUACGAAUCUAAAGAGCUUCUGAAAUAAUUAUGCCACCGUGAGAAGUUCCUAGUGCUGUUGAACAAAACCCCAAAGAACCAUUAGCUACUAUAUCUGCGCGACUAAAAAGUAGCAGACAGUAACAUUUUUGGUGUUGAUGAACCAACAAUCCAAUAUAUAGGUACAGAAUUGUGUGUUAUUAUAAAUCCAUAGAAAGUGUGCAAUGUUACUGACUUGCAAAAUCUCAAGAUACAUCAGACCACAUACUUCUUGACAAUACAAAGAGCAACCAAACAUUAUCUAUACCCGAUUUGUUCAUAAAUGAUUAGAAGUAUGAACUAUUUGUAUUUCAGGGAACAAAUCACUGUAAGCCACCAAAUAAAUACAGUAGAGGAGAUGUUCCUACUCACGCCUCUCACAUUUGGAAAGCAAGGCAACUGAAUAAAUAAGUAAAACUGCAACUACUUUUUUUUAGUAUUUCUAGUGAAAAGAGGAGCAUGAACGAAUCAUCACCAUGGAGCAACAGUGCAUGAUACCGUGCAAUGCAACAGUCAUAGCUAUAAUUGUUCAUGUUAGCAAUCUAUAGCAAGAAAAAUAAAAUUAAACCCAUCUUUAUUGUCCGAACCCAUUAUUUUCUCCUUUGAUUUUGAAGAUAAAAGGAUGGAAUGAUUAUUCUUCAUAUUAGUAAGAUAACAUCAACACAAAAAUUAAAUUAAGAAACCAUCAUCUUGUCCAACCCAAUAGCCCCCUUCUUUUUCUUUGAAACUUAAAUUAUGCAUUACAACCAUCAUUGUCCAGACCAAACAUGUACAGUACAAAAAUAGAUAGAUGGGAGAGGUCGGGGAGCGAUAUCACCAUUCCAGGGUACCAUCUUGAGCUCGAUGAAGGCCUCGGUGGUACUUGCUCCUCGGCCAGACUAUGAACUGUCAACCAAAUGAAAUACAUGCUACAUGUCACAAAAGACAAUCAAAAAUGGCGUUUUGGAGGACGUAGGUCGAUUAAUGCUACUUGUUACCGAACCAUGAGACCUGCUACGAAAGCAAGGGCAUGAAUUGUUUCCUUUUCUACAUUCAGGCCAUCAAACAUUACAAAAAGCAAAUACACUUGAUUUAUCAAGCAAAACAUAGGAGGCGGGAUUUGGAAGUCUGCCGCUUGCAUCUCUGAUCCUCAUGUCAUUAUUUAGAGAUGUAAAAUUAAGUGCCCUUUCAAAAUUUGAGCUCGAAUAGAAUAAUCAGACCACCCUGCAUCAUUGGCCGACAUAUGCAUGCUUGCUACUGAAAUUUUGAGUUUCUCAAACUGAAGAAUCGUCCAGAAGUGAUCAAAUGAAGCAUGGUGUAUUCUUUUCAACAGAAGAAAGACAUGGCUAGAACACAACUUUAUCUCGAGCAGAUUUUUAGUUCUAUGAAAAAAUAAAGAAGAGAGAAUGCAAUAAAACAACUAAAAAGAAAUUAAGUAUGCACACCUGCACCUACAAAGGUUUAGUAUUUUACCUAUGCAUACAACAAAAAUAUCAGAUCAAAACCAUGUUCUUGCUCCCUUGGAUAUAGCCAUNNNNNNNNNNNNNNNNNNNNNNNNNNNNNNNNNNNNNNNNNNNNNNNNNNNNNNNNNNNNNNNNNNNNNNNNNNNNNNNNNNNNNNNNNNNNNNNNNNNNNNNNNNNNNNNNNNNNNNNNNNNNNNNNNNNNNNNNNNNNNNNNNNNNNNNNNNNNNNNNNNNNNNNNNNNNNNNNNNNNNNNNNNNNNNNNNNNNNNNNNNNNNNNNNNNNNNNNNNNNNNNNNNNNNNNNNNNNNNNNNNNNNNNNNNNNNNNNNNNNNNNNNNNNNNNNNNNNNNNNNNNNNNNNNNNNNNNNNNNNNNNNNNNNNNNNNNNNNNNNNNNNNNNNNNNNNNNNNNNNNNNNNNNNNNNNNNNNNNNNNNNNNNNNNNNNNNNNNNNNNNNNNNNNNNNNNNNNNNNNNNNNNNNNNNNNNNNNNNNNNNNNNNNNNNNNNNNNGCAUAGCCAGAUUAAAACAUUAGUAAAAAAACAUUUGCUCUUCCAGUGAAAAAUAAGUAAACAUAAAGGAACAAAUCAGCGCAAGAUGCAGAUGGAUAAGGCAAGAUCAUUUAGUAAAACUGAAAUAUUCAUCAAUCAAAUGCUAAAAGCAUAUAUGACUACAUUUUAGAGGGUUACGAUGUAGAGCAUAGAUAGAUCUUAAUAGCAAAAAAAAUCGGUUCCAAAAAAGUGGCAAGUCUUAAUAAAUAUGCAAUUAAUUAGAUAUCCUUCCAGAAACAGUAAAAAUCCAUAUUGGUUCCGAUUGCAUUUCUCUUCGUGUCUUCGGAAGCUAUCCUAACCUUCCAAAAUGGUAACCCUCACCCAAGGUCCAAGGAGAGUCUUGUGAAAGCUUUCAAAAGUAUGAAUGUUUAAGAAAAGCCGCCAAUUGAAAAUGGAGACCCAGCUCAUGAGGUAUUAUACUUAGACUGAUUUACGUGUUGAUUGUUCCAAUUGCUGAGAGCAUCAUACUCUGAAAUAGAGAGCAUAUGUAGGCACGCCCAAGGAUUCAAAUCGUGUUUAAUACUCCCUCCGUUUCUUUUUGGAUGCAUAUAAAAUUUGGUCAAAGUCAAACUUUGUGAACUUUGACUAACUCUGUAGGAAAAAAUAUCAACAUCUACAAUACUAAAGCUAUAUGCUAUGGAAAUUAAUUUCAUGAUGCAUCUAAGAAUAUUGAUUUCAUGUUGUGAAUCUUGAUAUUUUUACCAUUACAAUCGGUAACUAUAAUUGUAGUGGUUAAUUUUCCAAUUAUUUUCUUUGAAGUUCUAUGCAAGUCCAAACUCCGGCAACACAUAACAGCAAAAGGAGCUUGCAAGAGCUAAAAAGCAGCCCAAACAAUAUCACUGACGGGUGCUGGGUAGCACCCUAAAGGAAAAACAACUCACUCCUAUGUAACUUGAAAACCAAAAGCUAAAAAAGAUAAGUUUAAAGACAUACCUCAAUGCAAGAUGGAAUCGCAGCUAGGCAAAAGCAAUGGCUGCUAUAGCAAUGCCUUGAUAUUUGGUACAUCAACAUAUGCAUGCCAUCUGCAAGCAGAAGUUCAGUUCAAUCCCCAAUUACCUCAAAAUAUAAACAUAUAAAGAGAUCUUGAACAGAGGCAUAGCAUGUAUUGUCAACUUCCAAGUAGACUCUGAGAAUUUGACAAUCUUUGAAGCCUUGCUAGUAAAAUUUUAAACUGCCACCGUCUGAAAUGCAUAUACACACGACCAAACAUCAAAUGUGAAUGUUAAAUUGGCGAAUACUUGGGGGAUGCACAGCAUACCCAGAAAAGGGUCCACUACACACACGACUGCAAAUACCCAUCAUAUGUAUGUAAGUGACCACAAAAGCACAUAGAAACUGCAAGGAAUUUUAGCAACCAAAGUAGACUAAUCUAACACAACCAUAUCAUACAGAGCAAUCAACUAAGACGAUAAGAACAUAGUACAACAUGAUUUGAAUCACAUGUUUUUCUCCAUUGGAGCGGUGUGCGCUCUCCACCUGUUGGCGUUCAACCGUCAUGUGGGAGGAUAGGAACGGAGGAAACUGAAUAAAUAGGCAUGGUGAAAAUCCCCAACCCUACCUGCCUCUUACCUUCUCGCCCGCAGGCACGAGGCAGCGGCGGCGACGCCGCUUGCUCAUCCACCCCACCCCUCACGGCUGCGUGCGCCGGCCGCCGGAAUGAGCCCGCGACCACUCUGUGCCAUUUUCAUCGCCCGUCCUCUGCCACCUCGGACUCGGCCUCUCCCGCAUCUCCACCUCCGCCUUCGCUUCUGUCCAUAAUGAAGGAGAAGUAAAAAAAGAUUAACCCAUGCAGGCAUUUUACCGAGCAGGUGAAGAGCAUGGAGUGAAACUCACCUUGGAACAAACGGUGCGGACAUGCAUACGGAAGAGGCAGAAGCAAGAAACCGAGCAGCGGUUGUAUGAACAACAAGAAAAUUAGAAGAGAAAGGGAAGAACAAAUCAGUGCUUGAAGAGCGAUGAGAGAAAUUGAUCUGUUGGAAGGGGAUGCACGUCCUUACCCUAACUGAACGCAUAAGCAUCAGCCACAGCGAGGAAAGCCAUGGCUCUCUAGCAAGCAGGCAGCGAGAAAGAUGAUGGCGGGCAACGACGGCAUCAGACGAUGGCUUGCGGAGACACAUGGAGAGGCAGAGCAUCGGGGCUGAGUCCUCUCCCGUCGUGCGACCUUGGAGAAGGAGGGAGCCGACCUCCGUCGCUCCACGUACCUGAAGACGGCUCAGAUCGGGAACCACCGCUGCGGCCUGAAGACAAGCGAUGGGAAGGCGAGGAGGAGGAAGAGGCGAGGCGGUGGAGGAGUAGCAGUCGGUGGCGGGGCUCCUAGGGCACAGGAGGAGGAGGUGGGAGGGAGUGGCGGCGGACAAGGGAGGGAGGAGUGAGGGGCGCGGGGCUGUGGAUUGGGGCUAGGGUUCGAUGCCUUUUUCCUCUUGCUCGAUCGCUGUGGCCCUCGUGCGACUGCUCGCUGUGGAUUUCGCUCGUGUGGUGCGGUGUGCCCUCGCGUUUUUUGCGGUGGUUUUUAC